CCUACGGGAGACAGCAGUAGGGAAUAUUGCUCAAUGGCGGAAACCCUGAAGCAGCAACGCCGCGUGGAGGAUGAAGGUUUUCGUAUUGUUAACUCCUUUUGUUAGAGAAGAUAAUGACGGUAUCUAACGAAUCAGCCCCGGCUAACUCCGUGCCAGCAGCCGCGGUAAUACGGAGGGUGUAAGCGUUACUCGGAAUCACUGGGCGUAAAGGGCGCGUAGGCGGGAUAGCAAGUCAGAUGUGAAAGCCUAUGGCUUAACCAUAGAACUGCAUUUGAAACUGUUAUUCUAGAGUAUGGGAGAGGUAGGUGGAAUGCUUGGUGUAGGGGUAAAAUCCGUAGAGAUCAAGAGGAAUACUCAUUGCGAAGGCGACCUACUAGAACAUAACUGACGCUGAUGCGCGAAAGCGUGGGGAGCAAACAGGAUUAGAUACCCCUGUAGUC
RNAcentral lists this ribosomal RNA (440 nucleotides) under uncultured bacterium. RNAcentral describes it as "partial 16S ribosomal RNA". It matches the Rfam family "Bacterial small subunit ribosomal RNA", at positions 338 to 795 of the family's 1533-position model. The record is from RNAcentral.